GCUGUAAGCUGCGAUAAGCUUCGGGGAGUUGCACGUAAACUUUGAUCCGAAGAUUUCCGAAUGAGGAAACUCACUUAGAGUAAUGUCUAAGUAUCAUUAAGUGAAUACAUAGCUUAAUGAGGGGAACUCAGGGAACUGAAACAUCUAAGUACCUGAAGGAAGA
Molecule: ribosomal RNA, 163 nt
Filed under: Clostridioides difficile
Lineage: Bacteria; Bacillati; Bacillota; Clostridia; Peptostreptococcales; Peptostreptococcaceae
Description: partial 23S ribosomal RNA
Rfam family: Bacterial large subunit ribosomal RNA
Source: RNAcentral